This 281-nucleotide long non-coding RNA is filed under the name Brassica napus (rape). RNAcentral describes it as "long non-coding RNA (BNAP_LNC014156)". The record is from RNAcentral. Lineage: Eukaryota; Viridiplantae; Streptophyta; Magnoliopsida; Brassicales; Brassicaceae.
GGUUUAUAAUUUAGGGUUUGGAGUUUAGGAUUUAGGGUAUAGGAUUUAAUAUUUUGCUAACGGUUUAACAAUAUUUUUUUUUUCUUUUGUAACUAUUUUUAUGUAUUUUUAUUGUUUUAUUUUAAAAAUAUAAUCUUAUUUAGAAAUUCAAUUUUGUUUCCUUUUUUAAAAGAUAUCAAAUAUCAAUUACUCAAACACCAUUGGUUGGUGAAUCUAGAGGUUCACCCUAAGGGGUGAAGCCAAGAAUUUCUCAGGAAUGAAUAUUAUAUUAUGAAAUUUAU